AUGGAGACAGCGAUGGAGACCCCGCCGCCGGCGGCAGAGACGAAGAAGGAGCCGACGCCGCCCGCGGCCGCGCAGCCUGCGCCAGAGACCAAGAAGGAGCCGACGCCGCCGGCUCCUGCGCCUGCUCCUGCUCCUUCUCCUCCUGCUGCGCCGGCGGCGGUGGUGGUGGCAGCAGCGAGAGGGGACGGGAAGCGGAAGAGGGGGCGGCCGAGGAAGUACGGGCCGGACGGGGGCCUGCUGCGGCCGCUGAACGCGACGCCGAUCUCGGCGUCGGUGCCGGACGACUCCGGCGGGGGGCACUACACGCCCGCGUCCGCCGUGGGGGCCGCCAUGAAGCGGGGCAGGGGGCGGCCCGUGGGGUUCAUCAGCCGCGCGGCGCCCGUGGUGGCGAUGCCGAUGCCGAUGCCGGUACCGGUGACGGCCGCCACGCCGACCCCCGCGGUGGUCGUCUCAACGCCACCACCCCCCGCGCCCAUGUCCUCAUCCGUCGCCGCCGCCGCCGCCGCCGCCCCGACGCCGCCCCUAGGUGACGUGGUAGGGUGUGCUUCCGGCGCAAAUUUUACACCUCAUAUCUUGAAUGUUGCUACCGGUGAGGAUAUUAAUAUGAAGGUUAUAUCUUUCUCCCAACAAGGUCCAAGGGCAAUUUGCAUUCUGUCUGCUAAUGGUGUGAUUUCGAAUGUUACGUUGCGUCAGCAUGAUUCUUUAGGUGGUACGGUGACUUACGAGGGCCGGUUUGAGCUGCUUUCCCUGUCCGGAUCUUUCACGCCAACCGAGAAGGGCGGAUCCAGAGACCGCUGCGGUGGGAUGAGCGUCUCUCUAGCAGCCGCCGAUGGCCGCGUCAUUGGAGGCGGCGUGGCUGGCCUCCUUGUGGCCGCAAGCCCGGUUCAGGUUGUGGUGGGAAGCUUCCUUCCGAGUUACCAGAUGGAGCAGAACGGCAAGAAGCCGGUGAUCGAGAUGAAGACGGUGGCGGCGCAGCCGGCCAUGGGGUUCACCAUCUCCAGCGGCGGCGACAUGGAGGACUCGUACAGCGGCAGCCAGGCGCGGGCCGGCAAGGGCGCGUCGGCGUUCAGGGUGGAGAACUGGACCGCGCAGCCGGUGGCGUCGGCGCCGCCCGCCGCCGAGGCGAGGAGGACGCCGUCGUCGGAGGCGGCCAAAGUCCCCGUCUCCGGAGGGUGA
Molecule: ribosomal RNA, 1176 nt
Filed under: Triticum aestivum (bread wheat)
Lineage: Eukaryota; Viridiplantae; Streptophyta; Magnoliopsida; Poales; Poaceae
Description: partial small subunit ribosomal RNA
Source: RNAcentral